Dama dama (fallow deer) is the source of this 437-nucleotide long non-coding RNA. RefSeq lists it as uncharacterized. Lineage: Eukaryota; Metazoa; Chordata; Mammalia; Artiodactyla; Cervidae. The transcript has 4 exons. The record is from RefSeq and is a predicted model, not a curated record.
GGUCAGGUCCGCACGGGGACCAGCCCCUCGCACUUCCAGACGUCCGUUCUCUGAGCAGCGGGAGCCUGAUCGUCUCGUCUCAGAUGUUUCAUCCUUUCCUGAAUAUGAGCACAAAAUCCCAAUGGAGAACGAACUCAGAGACUCAAAGGUUUUAAAGUCCUGCACCCAUGGAGAAUUGCUGACUAAAAGGGGUUGGAACAGAACUGGGUCCCUAGGUGUGGAGACCAUUGUCAUCAAGAGUAAGAAAAUGAAAUGGCUCUGUAUGUAGGUCAACGACCCCCUCUCUACUGAAAGAUGACAAUACCAAGACACAGAUGAAUGAAAUACCUUGCCCAAGCUUGCACAGCUAGAGUUCAACCUAGACCUCAAAUGUAGCAAUAUGUGUACUUCUAACAUAUGAAAUUGUAAGGUAUAAAAAUAUCAAAACUGAAUAAAAU